UUAGGAGUAUUGUUUAUUUUAUAUUUAGUUUAGUUUUUAUGUUCAAGACAGGCAUGGAAGAGACACUAAUUGCAUUAGUUACCAAAUGAUUAUGAUAGAAUAUGUUCCACAUCUUUGAUUUUGGAUACAUUUUAUAGCUAGGAGAGCAACACAUAAUAGGUUCAAUUUUUCGUGAUUUUUUUAAAUUGGGAGAUGAUAUCUGAGAACAUGAUAUAAGGAGCCUGUAAUUCAGUGGUUGUCGUUUGUUUAUGUGUUACAUAUUCGUUUUUUCUUUAUUUUUUGUACAUAAAUAAGCCUGUUAUUUUUCUCCUUUGAAUUGUUUCACAUUGUCAUUUCGAGACCUUUUAUAGCCGACUAUGCUGCAUUAGCUUUGCUCAUUGUUGAAGGUUGUGCGGCGACCUGUAAUUGUUAAUUUCUAUGUCAUUUUGGUCUGUUGUGGAGAAUUGUCUCAUUGGCAAUCAUAUCACAUCUUUUUUUAUAUGUAUUUGCUAACUAUUUGUAUGGUUCUAUUUAUAUAUACUGAGUGCCAAUGAAAACGCAACACUUGGUUUUUCAAAAAUAAAAUUUAUAUUAGAAAUCAUAAUCUUUCAAAAUGAAUUGUUCUUGAAAAUUAACAAUUCUAACAAUAGAUCGAUAUCAAACAAAAAUGUUUCAUUGUCAUCUUUCGGGCGCAAUAGAUAAACGAAACAUCCAAUGUCGAAUCAUCAAAUCACAGUCCUAACAAAAAAUGUUACAACCCUGUUGUGCAGCGCAAUCUCGACAGCGCCGUGGAAUUGAUCAUCCCGG
This 786-nucleotide long non-coding RNA is filed under the name Mytilus galloprovincialis (Mediterranean mussel). Lineage: Eukaryota; Metazoa; Mollusca; Bivalvia; Mytilida; Mytilidae. The record is from RNAcentral.